ACUGGGGUGAAGUCGUAACAAGGUAGCCGUAGGGGAACCUGCGGCUGGAUCACCUCCUUUCUAAGGAUGAUCCUUCAGCGAGCUUCGGCUCACUAUCGGAUCGUUUUAAGAAACAUCAGUGGCCAACGGUCGUCAGGAUCGUUGAGCUGCAUUGGCGGGAUUUCGCCGUCUUCGUUUCUCUUUCUUCGCGGACGAACACGCGCUGGGCCUGCAUGGUUGCAGGAUCCCGGUCCUUAACUGGAUAUGCGUUAGGGGCUUGUAGCUCAGUUGGUUAGAGCGCGCGCUUGAUAAGCGUGAGGUCGGAAGUUCAAGUCUUCCCAGGCCCACCACACUCAUCGAGUGAGCAUUCGUCUUCUGGUUACGGGGCCAUAGCUCAGCUGGGAGAGCGCGUGCUUUGCAAGCAUGAGGUCGUCGGUUCGAUCCCGUCUGGCUCCACCAGAUGGUUUGAUCAUCGACUGAUCGUGCACCUAAAUCGUCCGCGAAACAUCACUUCGCACCCACUAGUCCGGAUGGACAGUGACGUGCGUGAUUUCUGACAUCGUAAAGAGGAGAUCGAUCCGAGUUGGAUCGUGCAGCAAGCAAUUGCUACGCGGUACUCCAUUAUCUCCGGAUCAUUUCGGCGCUCGUGCGUCUUCCAAGGUAGCUCACAAGGCUGCGUUGAAAGACAAGCGAGUUGUAAAUGAUCCUUUUAGCGAAGCUUGACCGCCUCGCUAUCGGAACGAUCUUACGAAGCAAGCUGGUCUUUCUAAUCAUUGUCCGGCUGCAGAUAGCGUUCAUCGAGGGCGCGUAUCGCAAGGUAAUUCUGCAGACAACAUUCUGCCGAGUGUGUGGACAUUGAUAAUGAGAGCAAUCAAGUGCCUUAAGGGUGUUCGGUGGAUGCCUUGGCGCUGAGA
This 893-nucleotide unclassified non-coding RNA is filed under the name Bradyrhizobium sp. RNAcentral describes it as "partial contains 16S ribosomal RNA, 16S-23S ribosomal RNA intergenic spacer, and 23S ribosomal RNA". The stretch from base 253 to 326 matches the Rfam family "tRNA". Lineage: Bacteria; Pseudomonadati; Pseudomonadota; Alphaproteobacteria; Hyphomicrobiales; Nitrobacteraceae. The record is from RNAcentral.